UAUCGGAACGUACCAUUGAGUGGGGGAUAACGUAGCGAAAGUUACGCUAAUACCGCAUACGAUCUACGGAUGAAAGCGGGGGAUCGCAAGACCUCGCGCUCAAUGAGCGGCCGAUAUCUGAUUAGCUAGUUGGUAGGGUAAAAGCCUACCAAGGCAUCGAUCAGUAGCUGGUCUGAGAGGACGACCAGCCACACUGGGACUGAGACACGGCCCAG
This 215-nucleotide ribosomal RNA is filed under the name uncultured bacterium. RNAcentral describes it as "partial 16S ribosomal RNA". It matches the Rfam family "Bacterial small subunit ribosomal RNA", at positions 116 to 334 of the family's 1533-position model. The record is from RNAcentral.